Esox lucius (northern pike) is the source of this 207-nucleotide small nucleolar RNA. Ensembl annotates it as small nucleolar RNA SNORD17. The record is from Ensembl. NCBI's taxonomy places the organism in Eukaryota, Metazoa, Chordata, Actinopteri, Esociformes, Esocidae.
GUGAGAUGAUGAAAGUGUUUAUCCAUUCUCUGAGUGCUGGUUAGGGUCCUACUUUCUUAAUGGCGCUCAUGUCUGUUUUAGCCGUGAGUGUCCUCCGUCCCGGCACCAGUCUGCCGUCUCAGUGUUCUACUGGGGAAGCUUGUGUUGGUGACGGGACGGGAAUGGAGGUCCCUGCGAUAACAAAGACGAUUUAACACGCCUGAUCAC